RNAcentral lists this ribosomal RNA (253 nucleotides) under uncultured bacterium. RNAcentral describes it as "partial 16S ribosomal RNA". It matches the Rfam family "Bacterial small subunit ribosomal RNA", at positions 524 to 776 of the family's 1533-position model. The record is from RNAcentral.
UACAGAGGGGGCGAGCGUUGUUCGGAAUUACUGGGCGUAAAGGGCGCGUAGGCGGCCUUCUAAGUCGAACGUGAAAUCCCCGGGCUCAACCCGGGAACUGCGUCCGAUACUGGAAGGCUUGAAUCCGGGAGAGGGAUGUGGAAUUCCAGGUGUAGCGGUGAAAUGCGUAGAUAUCUGGAGGAACACCGGUGGCGAAGGCGACAUCCUGGACCGGUAUUGACGCUGAUGCGCGAAAGCGUGGGGAGCAAACAGG